Molecule: transfer RNA, 102 nt
Filed under: Ceratocystis platani
Lineage: Eukaryota; Fungi; Ascomycota; Sordariomycetes; Microascales; Ceratocystidaceae
Rfam family: tRNA
About the family: Transfer RNA (tRNA) molecules are approximately 80 nucleotides in length.
Source: Rfam by way of RNAcentral
GGCAACGUGCCUGAGUGGUUAAAGGGUAUGACUCGAAUGGACAUCGCCAUUUCCUGCUAUCAUAUGGCUUCGGCCGCGUAGGUUCGAAUCCUGCCGUUGUCG